RNAcentral lists this ribosomal RNA (589 nucleotides) under Marinobacter sp. TA34. Its description in RNAcentral is "bacterial SSU rRNA". It matches the Rfam family "Bacterial small subunit ribosomal RNA", at positions 202 to 775 of the family's 1533-position model. The record is from RNAcentral. Lineage: Bacteria; Pseudomonadati; Pseudomonadota; Gammaproteobacteria; Pseudomonadales; Marinobacteraceae.
GCAGGGGAUCUUCGGACCUUGCGCUAUUGGAUGUGCCUAUGUCGGAUUAGCUAGUUGGUGGGGUAAAGGCCUACCAAGGCGACGAUCCGUAGCUGGUCUGAGAGGAUGAUCAGCCACAUCGGGACUGAGACACGGCCCGAACUCCUACGGGAGGCAGCAGUGGGGAAUAUUGGACAAUGGGGGCAACCCUGAUCCAGCCAUGCCGCGUGUGUGAAGAAGGCUUUCGGGUUGUAAAGCACUUUCAGUGAGGAGGAAAACCUUAUGGUUAAUACCCAUGAGGCUUGACGUUACUCACAGAAGAAGCACCGGCUAACUCCGUGCCAGCAGCCGCGGUAAUACGGAGGGUGCAAGCGUUAAUCGGAAUUACUGGGCGUAAAGCGCGCGUAGGUGGUUUGAUAAGCGAGAUGUGAAAGCCCCGGGCUUAACCUGGGAACGGCAUUUCGAACUGUCAGGCUAGAGUAUGGUAGAGGAGUGUGGAAUUUCCUGUGUAGCGGUGAAAUGCGUAGAUAUAGGAAGGAACACCAGUGGCGAAGGCGGCACUCUGGACCAAUACUGACACUGAGAGUGCGAAAGCGUGGGGAGCAAACAG